GCCAGAGUUUGGGUAGUGGAUGGAGGGGUGGCGGGUCGCCCAACAACGGGGACAGAGGGCCGGCAAGGGGUAAGGCAUGAGCGAUCGAGGGAGAGAGCUGGAGUUGGGAGGGGAAACAGGGAUGGAGAUCGUGCUCCUGAAUGUGUGGGACGAGAAGGGGCGGGGAAGGGCAGCUUAGACCAGCGACUUCACGUGCUCCUCCGAGAGCUCGACCAGUACGAGCGCCCGCUCGGUCGGAAUCCGCGGUAGCCUCCGCCUGCGUGCCCUGAGUGGUCGCCGCUGCGGGACGGGGCGGACCGGAGUGGGCGCUACUCUGUGCGGCAGGGCGGGGGCGCGGGUUGAGCUCAUACUUCCGCACCUCGUUCUACCGCCCGGUGGCACCGGCACCGCCGCCCAACACCACCAGCGAGAGCCCCUCCACCGCUGCUAAUACCGCAACUCGCCACCAUACCAGUCACGCCCCACCCUCGCCGCCUCCAACCAUGUGGUGUUUCCUUCAACUUCUCGCUCCCGCACUCCCCGACCGGUAGGAGCGCUUCAGCCAUAUUAAUUAUCCUCCGCCACGCCGGUCCGCUACCCCGCUGUGCUCCGCCUAGGCGGACUAGCGACCACCCGUCAGGUGGAGCAGAGGCUAGAGAGGCGCGGCCGCAACUACGAUAAGUCCGCUCCCUACGAGGAGGCUGCUCCGCCGAGGGACACCAACUGAGAUGAGCUGCUGACGUCCUAAGUGCAGCUGUGCUACGCCCAUGUACCGCUCUUCCACUAAGUUCUCCCCUGCGUCCAUGCAAAAGGGACGGUGUAACACGACCACCUUUCUGGUGAACCUCGGCUCCGCCUCUGCGCCACCCUACGCAUCUAGCUCCAACUUCUCCUCUCGCUCGCAGUCCUUACCUCCUCUCAAUUUCGACGCCGCGCCAUGCCACGCUGGUAAGGGAGGGGAGAGCUGCUUUAGGUGAGAGGGAGGGAGGGUGUUCGCUCACGCGGCGUGGUCCUCUAGGUACCGCAGGACCUUCGGCUCCGAGCUCCGUUCCCGUUCCCAUUAUCGACUGCCCCUGCUUCACUUAUACCUCUUCGACUACAACUAGUAGAGAACCAAGCGCCUCCUUGCCCUAGACUUCCUCCACCGCCCCCGCCGUAUGUCCUUCGUAUGUCUCCGCCUCCUGACCGCUGAGUGCGGCAACCCGCUCGGCCAACCGCACGAGUCCUAUAACGAGACCCGCUACCUCCUCCGCCGAAGUCUGCUGGGGUUCGUUAGGUACUUCACCUUCCGUAAAGUUAGCGCGACGGCGCGAGGCCGUCCGGGCAGCCUUAAACACCAACCACUCCACUACCCGGAGGGAUGUGGACACGGACGCUGUCGCUCCCUCCGCGCCCUUCUAGACCCUUCGCUGUUCCGUUUCCUUCCUUGCUUCGGACCACGCUUCUUCUUCUUCUACAGCAACUAGGACUCCUCCAGCGGCGCGAAGGGGGCAGCAAGCGGUGUAGACGAGUCGGAGCGGGCGAGGGUCCCUGCCACCAUCCUUGGAGUGGCCGCCCGUCAGCAAAGACCGACGAGCGACCACUCCUAAGGCUACUCCUCCGACCCGGGAACAACCUCAACGUUCCAUGCUAAAAGGGAUAUAGAUUUAUAGAGUAACUUGGAUGUAGCCACCCCCACAGCCCCAGUUUUGGUCGCCUAGAGCCCAUCCCCCAGGGCUUGAUACACAGACUCCAACUACCAUUGUCCUCUGUCACCUGUGUUUCAAAAUGGGUCCAAGCCCGGGAGAACUACCUCCAUUAUGGGAUGCAGGACGAACUAAUAUAACUACUCAUAUCCCCAAUGUUCUCAACUAGAUGGUGUUCUAGCAUUACCGAUUUGGGGAUCUUCAGAUCGGAUAUACUAAUACUAACGGAGAUGCCUGAUCUGGGAGGCCAAAUAUAUCUGUAGCCUCCCCUGAUCCCAACAUGUUUCAGCCAAUGUAUCUUUUCUUUAUCAUGUAGACCGGUGGAUCGUCAGGAAGGUACGUUUCCUCUCAGGAUAGGCCUGUGCCCUCUUUCGGAAGAUAGAAUAUAGAAGUACCGGGUUAUCAGGCCGAGUGCAGUGUGUCCUGCCUGCGGGCUCCUGGGGAAUUAGGUCCUGAGGGAAUCAUCGGGGAUUUGAUCCGAAGUUACUGCUCCACAGGCCGCACGUCUAACAGAAACCGUAACGUUCUACCCAAGGAGGAGGCUUAUGAAGUUUUGUCGAAAGCUUGUGUUUCUUGUACGGGUCGAGACGUUUUGUUCGUGGUGUGUGUUGGCGUCUCUCGUAUUAUAAAGUGCUCAGGUUAGAUGACUGUUGAAAGGUAUCGCACUACGGUGCAGUGGUGGGCCAGCAAUAAAACUUGGCAAGAAGCCGGACGGCGAGGUACGAAACUCUACGCCAAAAUAACCGUGCAGAAUAGUUUCGUCUCUAGCACAGGGGAAUAAUGCCCUAAAAGUAGUUACUUCCGCACCAAUUAGGUUGACACGGAGAACCCUUUGUACGCUCAAAAUUCCGAUCACCCCCCCGCGAACUAUAAGUGACGGAAAUAUUUCCCUAUUCCUGAGUGGGGGAAAGUGGGUGUGGAAAGAGAGAGAGAGAGAGAGACGGGUAGUCAAGAGCUCGAGGUCGCGGGUUCGAGGGUAGGAAAGACGGAGGCUUGUCGUGAGGUCUGUACAGACCUAGACCUCGUGUUCCGUUCACCUACCACAGGAUACACUUCCUCUUCCCGUAGUGGUUCGAGGCUCCUCCAGCCCAUAGAUCGGUUUCUUUGGCGGGUGGCCGAAGGCCGGUUCCCUGACUAGCAGGGGUGGGGUCACGGGGUACUCUCCCAGCACAAGUAGGGGGUGAAGUAGACACCCGACCCUAAAGGAGAGGUGGGGAAGCAGGCGCCAGAGUACAAGAUGAUGCCCGAUCUAAAAAUACUAGACCGGGGGUUAAGGAAGGAGUUGUAGAGUCGUAAGUAACAGCACACGCUCCGGAAGGAGGUAUUGGGAGGGGUGAAGCCUAACACCGACUUCCAAAAGUUGUACUUCGACUUCCACCACCUACUGGUUGUACGUCUCACGUUUCCGCGGUACCGCUCGUUCAACGGGUUACAGUGUACCGGGUUUCCAUGGAAACACCGCUGCCAGUUCCCCCACCGUUGUCGACACCAAGAUACAGUGUCUCGGAGCGCAAUGGUGGAUCCGGCGUCGAGAGCUUAAGAUCAGGCCGCGGGGCUACGCCGAGUGGAGAACCGAUCUCUUCCCGGACCUGACCAGAAGCAGCCUACUCGACUGUCGUGAGGUUUGCGCGUAGUUCGCGUACCACCUGUUCUUGCAAUUCGAACAGUUGCACUAAGUCCACUACGAGCGAGCGGCCUAGGACGGUACGGUUUCGGCCUAAACGGUGAACACCCUCAAGCUGGGCCGGUUCGUGGCCUGGAACGUUGUCAAGAAGCUGUGAUGCGUGCUUCUGUAGACCUUCCACGAGAAGUUCCGGUUGCUCUGCACCGGCUGCUGCUAGCUCCUGGCGCCCGCACUGGACCGGGUAGGACGAUCACGCCAUUCACAAGGUAUAAAGUUCCACAUGGGAAAUGAACGCAUGAGUUCCUUCUAAAGAUUUGAAGGGAUAGAACAAAAAAGUCCCGACAUGUUUCUUCCGCCUGGCCUAAGUCACAGGCCGAGGCGACGGACUUCUUGGUCGUUAGGGCGAAGACUGCUUCUACGACCAAGGCCGCGGGAUAGUCCGCGGCCUCUUCUUCCGGUUCCCCUGGUCUCCACCAGAGGUGGCAUUCCCGUGAAGUCUGCACUGCAAGCUUCUGCGGCUGUAGGUGAGGGGAGGGCGGUGGCUGCUGCUCCUUCUCCUCCUUUCUCUAAGAGGGAGAGUUCCCCCUACCUUCUUUUCUCGCCGGAGGUGCGUAGACCUCCGUCUCCGCAGGUUCUUCCCCUUCCGGAGGCGGCGCCUGUUGGGGCACACCCUAUAGCUGUCGUCUAGGAUCACCGCGGGGUCCCUAUUCGGGGACCGGCUUAGUAUUCAUGAGUUUCUGCGUGAGUUUAUAGGUCGAGGAAAUGAAAUAUCGAAAUUGUACAACUUAGUACGUGAACGUCAGGCCGAGCGAGGCUUGAGCUCGCUAGGAGUAGAAGCCCUUUGAGCGACCUAGGCUUCCACUACCUGUCGCCCAGAGAAGGCCACCGGAGGAGAGGGUUCUGACACCUUCUGCAACUUUACGACAGGACUUCCUGUGAGGGCCGAGUCCCCCUCCGUGUCUGCCGGCAAUGCCCCCACGGUCUCCUGUUAUGGAGCCGGCGGCCUGUGUACCCCCUCGUCUAGGGGUACCUAUGACCGCUACCCCCGGUAGAGGUUAAACCGGGGGUCGGCUUGUGCUAUGGCCUCUGGAUAUACCGUGGACUUAGGUCGUCUGUCGGAGGAAGUUUCCUUCCUCCACGCGGUUAAGGUGGCCACUGGAGACAGGUAGGUCUCCGUGGUCUAUGAGAUAACCUUCGCGACGCUUCACGAAGGUAACAACUCCUUGUGGCAUGGGAAUACCCAUACCACCAACUCUCCAAAGUCAGGCAGUUCUCGCCUAACUGGCUUCGGACGUGUUCGGAAGAUUGUCCUAAACUCCAUUCGCUACGUUAAUAUAUAUUCCUUAUAGUAUCAUAUCUGUCAUCGGGGACUCUGAGAUAGGCCACAAGUCUUUCUUCUCGGCCUGUCUCCUAGUUCAUUAAAAACGUCCUCUGAUUGAUUUAUACACUAUGCAGAGGUUGCAUAGAUAUUAAAAAAUAACAAGGUACGAUAAUAUAAUAGACAAAACCUACAAUUACCCGAAAUAAAAUGUGAAAAUAUAAUAAAAACCCUGAUUGGAUAAUUGGGUUCCGGGUCACGUUUAACGACAAAAAACGGAUAAAAUCACAAAGCAUCUUUUCCUUAUAGUUUGCCUUACUUUGGAAGCCCUUGCACUAAAAACCUUGUUUACACUAGAUCUCCUGAACCUCACCUGCAGUUCUUUACUUGCUCCUCAGGUGCUCCGUUCCCCGCGCGGAUGGGGGUGACCCGCACGGGAGGGGCAGCACCCGGGGAGCACCGAGUUGGCUGGAUGGAAAAGGAGGAUAUAUAUGAGUAUAUGGGACUUUUGUAGGCCCUCGUGGUGCUUUGGAAUAAAGGUGGCGGUGUUGGAAGACAUGGGUUCUCUAGGGUAGAACCCCGGAAAAGGUCUCGAGGCGGCCUCCCCCGUAGCUAGUGCCUCCCGGAGAUGUAGUUGACAUACCGGGGAGGCUACUACACACUCAUCAAAUGAAAUCUGGAAGCCCAGGUAUCAAUAAUCGAUCUACCGAAGAAGAGAGAGAAACUUAGAGUUAUGUUUCAAGAGGAGCUAGAAGAACCUCUAGAUAAGCUACAUUGAGAAAAACGUCACACAAACAGCUCUAGGCUACUUAACACCCAAAUACUAGUUCAGAUAGAUACUUGUUAUAAACUAAGA
Molecule: ribosomal RNA, 5462 nt
Filed under: Triticum aestivum (bread wheat)
Lineage: Eukaryota; Viridiplantae; Streptophyta; Magnoliopsida; Poales; Poaceae
Description: partial small subunit ribosomal RNA
Source: RNAcentral